UGGUGGAGCCGGAGGAGGGUUAGGCGGUGGUGGUGGUGGAGGGUUUGGCGGCGGCGGUGGAGCUGGUGGAGGAGCCGGGUUUGGAGGAGGAUCUGGGUUUGGAGGUGGUGCUGGUGCCGGUGGCGGCCUCGGAGGUGGUGGUGGAGGAGGGUUUGGAGGUGGCGGGGGUGCUGGCGGUGGACUUGGAAGUGGACUUGGCGGUGGCGCUGGAGGAGGAUUCGGUGGGGGAGCUGGUGCCGGAGGUGGAUUUCCAUGAAAAGUUUGCAUGCGAAGAGAAUGCAUAUAUAUUAAAGAAAAGAGGCUAUUCUUCUUAUAUUUGGCAUUAAUAAC
Molecule: long non-coding RNA, 330 nt
Filed under: Phaseolus vulgaris (common bean)
Lineage: Eukaryota; Viridiplantae; Streptophyta; Magnoliopsida; Fabales; Fabaceae
Description: long non-coding RNA (PVUL_LNC002605)
Source: RNAcentral